Molecule: small nuclear RNA, 165 nt
Filed under: Monodelphis domestica (gray short-tailed opossum)
Lineage: Eukaryota; Metazoa; Chordata; Mammalia; Didelphimorphia; Didelphidae
Description: U1 spliceosomal RNA (ENSMODG00000021902.1)
Rfam family: U1 spliceosomal RNA
About the family: U1 is a small nuclear RNA (snRNA) component of the spliceosome (involved in pre-mRNA splicing). Its 5' end forms complementary base pairs with the 5' splice junction, thus defining the 5' donor site of an intron. There are significant differences in sequence and secondary structure between metazoan and yeast U1 snRNAs, the latter being much longer (568 nucleotides as compared to 164 nucleotides in human).
Source: RNAcentral
AUACUUACCUGGCAGAGUUGAUUCUGUUAUUAAGGGUGGUUUCCUCAGAGUGAUGCUUAUCUUAUCCAUUUUACUCAAUGGGCUGAUUCCUGCGAUUUCUGCAAAUGCCAGAAACUUGACUGCAUAAUUUGUGACAGUGGGGGACUUCAUUCAAACUCUCCCCUA